Manis javanica (Malayan pangolin) is the source of this 2180-nucleotide long non-coding RNA. RefSeq lists it as uncharacterized. NCBI's taxonomy places the organism in Eukaryota, Metazoa, Chordata, Mammalia, Pholidota, Manidae. The record is from RefSeq and is a predicted model, not a curated record.
GGCCGGCGGAGCCUCGCAUUCUGCCUCCAGCUCGGCAGGCGGCGCUGUGACGCGCUGCUCUCUCUCCUACCCCCCUGACUAUUCCCAAUUUCAUCUCUUCGUCAGCUCCUUCCCACCCCCUCCCACCCUUCUCCCAGCGGAAUGCUCUGCUGCCCGCUUCCAGGACCGUGAUGUGGGCUGAAGCCCCCUCUGGGAGGCGGGACCCCGCCCUCGCGCCCUCCGCCCUCCUGCCGCCAUUGCCUCGCUCCAUCGUGGCUGCACCAAAAAUAUGCUCCAACUUUGUUCCCACUCUGCCCACCCUGCACCCGUGAGCAGCUUUGUGAUCCGUGUUCAUGCCGCCCUCCCCUUCCUGCUCCUCUCCCUGCCUCUCCUUUACGCAUCCUUGGAAGGCUUCCUCUGAAAUCACCUUUGAUCUUUACGUGGCCCUGUCCGGUGGACGUUUCCAAGUGCCUACUGCUCUGUACUGUUCAGCAGCCCUGCAGUGCACAGCUGAGAGCCCAGCCCACGGCCCUAUGCCCGACCACCCACACCUUGGUGCAGUGCAUCUAUAGGACACCCCAUGUGCGGAAGAUCUGAGGCUCCUGGGCCUGAUCUCCAGGAGGAAGGUGGGCAGCUGCCUCCCUGGGGAGACGACUUCUGCAUCAGCAGAUUGCAGACCGCAGCCCAAUGGAUGGCAGAGAAGACUGCUGGUUUGCUGGGCCAGAGCUGGUCGGCAGUUGUUGCGCAAGCAGGAAGCAACACUUCAGGACGUCCUUCCACCCACAUCUCUGACCUACUGUGCAGCUGCUGGAACCAACAGGAAAUGCUUCUUUCUCUUGCAAUGUCCCUCCAGUGCCUUCUACCUAGAAAGCUUAACAUUGUGCUCCCUGUAAAGGCGAAAUGCUUAAACAAAUCCUGUCCAUUAUCACUGAGACGAUAUUAAAAGGUGGAGUUGAAGCUGAGAAGCAAUAAAUUAGUCACUGACACAUCAGUCCUUUGUGAUAAUUAUUUUUUUUCUCUCUUUGAAGGUUUGUGCAGUCUUUGUCCUCAGUUUCCCCUUCAUGUGGGUCUGGUUUCAUCCCUUAGGUACUAGGCACACAGCUGGCUCUUUCACUCCAGGAGCUCAUGUCCUUUGCUUCCGAGAAAACUUCUUAUUUUCAUCAUAUCUUCUCUCUUUUCUCUUUUCUUUCUUAUUAUUCAAAUAGUAUAUUUCUUGGACUGUGUCUCUACUUUUCUUUUCCUUUUAUAUUCUGUUUGUUUUUGCUCUGCCUUGUGGAACAUUUCUUUAUCUUUCAGGCCUCCUGUGCAGUAUUGGAUUUUUGCUUUCAUGUUUUUAAUUUCUGAGAGCUCUUUUUUGGUCUCUGAAUGUUCUUCCUCUUUUUAAAUAGCACCCCGUUUCUGUUUCAUGAAUGCAGUAUCUUUUGUACUGUCUCGCUGAGGCUAUUAGUGCUACUUGUUUUUAAGUCGUCUUCCUACACAGACUCUGUUUCUGCAAAUUGCUUUUCAUUCUGUUUGUUUGUUUUUGUUUAAUUUUAUCUUCCAUGCUUGAGGCAUAUCUCAACUGUCUGGUAAAUCCUGGACUGUCUGAUCAUUUAUGAGAGGGGAACUUUAUCAGUUAGGUCCCAACAGUAACAAAAGGUUCAUUCAAAUUUGGACAAUUUCAGGAGGACUUAUUUACAAAAUGGCUGUUUACGAAGGCAGAGUGUAGGAGAGCCGUCGCUUUGGCUGAGAGACACGGCAGUCUGAGGUGAGCCUUCUGAGAGGGACGGAGGAACGAGUGCCCUGACCCACUUCCCCCUGCCCUCUUGUUGUCUUCCCGGGUUUCCCAGUGGCCAAGCCAGUCCGAGAGUGAGGGAGCUUGCUUGUGUUGUCUGUGCCUCAACCUCUUCCCCAUGCAGAGGGUAAGGCGAGCCAGGCUGUGGAGGGACAGAAGGCAGAUGGCUGACAUGGAACCAAAAUCCUCAGUGUAUGCUCGGUGUAGGGGGUUCAUUGGUGGGGCUGUUUGCUGGGAGAAUCUCCAAAUGUCUGGGUCUUUAGGUCUUUCCUCUGGGGAGAGUCAGUUUUCCCAGGAAAGAAUCUAGCAGUCUCUUUCCAAGGAGGGAGAAGGUCUGGCCACCUGUGUGCUGUUUGCUAAAAGGAGGCAGAAAGGAAGGCACAUCCUUUUUACUGCCUCAACAUGAAGCCCUCAGCACACCGCUGUU